GAUGGCUUUGUGCGCUGAUCAAGGGUGGAGAAGUGAGGCGCCAAUUAAAAAAGUUGCGCGACCCUUCGGAGAAACACCACAUAAUUUUUUUCGGAGAGUCCUUCUGCGUGAAGCGACUCUUGGAAUUAAUUCUGAUGCUUCCACGUAAGAGAUCAGACUUGGACCAACAUGUGAAGGGUGGAAGGUGUGAGAAUGGGCGUGAGAAAUUGCUUGGAAGGGCGCGAGAUGAUUGGAUAAGCGUCUAAUCUCCAAAUAUAAAAGGGGACGCACGUCGGGGUUCCGAUUCAUUCAGAAAAUCCUAAUCUCUUCUUUCUUACACAAGUCUCCCCUCUUGUCCAAUUAUUCCUUUCCUUUCCUUGUUAGGACAAGUCCUAAAAUAGUCAGG
RNAcentral lists this long non-coding RNA (385 nucleotides) under Elaeis guineensis (African oil palm). RNAcentral describes it as "long non-coding RNA (EGUI_LNC015310)". Lineage: Eukaryota; Viridiplantae; Streptophyta; Magnoliopsida; Arecales; Arecaceae. The record is from RNAcentral.